Molecule: ribosomal RNA, 409 nt
Filed under: uncultured bacterium
Lineage: Bacteria
Description: bacterial SSU rRNA
Rfam family: Bacterial small subunit ribosomal RNA
Source: RNAcentral
GAUGAACGCUGGCGGCGUGCUUAACACAUGCAAGUCGAGCGGAGAUAAGAUAAAAGCUUGCUUUUAACUUAUCUUAGCGGCGGACGGGUGAGUAACGUGUGGGCAACCUGCCUCAUACAGAGGGAUAAUCAUGUGAAAACGUGACUAAUACCUCAUGUCAUUGCUAGAAGGCAUCUUCAGGCAAGAAAAGGAGUAAUCCGGUAUGAGAUGGGCCCCGCAUCUGAUUAGCUAGUUGGUGAGAUAAUAGCCCACCAAGGCAACGAUCAGUAGCCGACCUGAGAGGGUGAUCGGGCCACAUUGGGACUGAGACACGGGCCCAAAUCCUACGGGAGGCAGCAGUGGGGAAUAUUGCACAAUGGGGAAACCCUGAUGCAGCAACGCCGCGUGAAGGGAAGACGGUUUUCGGAUU